UAUAUAUAGUAUACGUAGCACCAGAUAUUUUUCAUUCCAGGCACACCUCAUCUACGUACGGCAGUAUUUUUUGAACCAAGGAAUUCAGAAUUUCAGAAGAAUUAUAUUUUCAAGAUGUCUAAAAUCAUCGUAGCCUGCCUUCUAGCUUUGGCACUUCUUCAUUGCGUCAUGGCACAGUCCGGAGACGUCACCACCGCAGCAGAGAUGACCACAUCUGGGGCCGAAUCUGUCUUGGGAUCAACGCUAUUCUUGUGUAUUACAACCCUUUUUGCACUUUUCCGCAACAUCCAAUAAAUGGAGAAGAAUUUACGAUAUCUUUACAGUUUUUAACUCAAAUUAAUAGAUAUAAAAUAUUAUGCAACACGGACUUUGAUAGAAGAUAAACUACACCUGUCUAAUAAUUUGAUUCCUAAGAAUAGCUAGAGCAUCACAUUACGACAACGCAAUAGUUACUUAAUGCUGAAAAAAACACUUUUGUAUAUUGUUUUAAAAACAUUUGUUUCAUUUUCUCAAAAUAUCGUUUUCAGUCAAAUGAUGAGAAAAAUAUUCUACGUUUUCUCGGAUGAUUUUUUAAAUUAUUAGAGCUAUAUUAAAGUUGUUUGAAAAUACAGUAAAAUUUCUUCUUUUUUCUACGAAAUAUUGUCCCUAAUCUAUUAGCAGUUAUAGGUGAGUGUCGCAAAAAGGAACCUGGUUUACGAUGGUUACUAAGAUGGUUUGGACUAUUCAAUGACUGACGUUAGUUGUUUAUGAUGUCGAAAAAUAGAAGUCUUUUUCUGCAUUUUCUUUCAUGGACGGCCAUUUUUUAAUAAAAUAAACGAACAACAAAAAUGAAC
Molecule: long non-coding RNA, 833 nt
Organism: Styela clava
Lineage: Eukaryota; Metazoa; Chordata; Ascidiacea; Stolidobranchia; Styelidae
Source: RefSeq, a predicted model, not a curated record